This 354-nucleotide unclassified non-coding RNA is filed under the name soil metagenome. RNAcentral's name for it is "partial contains 5.8S ribosomal RNA, internal transcribed spacer 2, and large subunit ribosomal RNA". The stretch from base 1 to 120 matches the Rfam family "5.8S ribosomal RNA", at positions 35 to 154 of the family's 154-position model. The record is from RNAcentral.
GAUGAAGAACGCAGUGAAACGCGAUAUGUAAUGUGAAUUGCAGAAUUCAGUGAAUCAUCGAAUCUUUGAACGCACAUGGCGCCUUCCAGUAUCCUGGGAGGCAUGCCUGUCCGAGCGUCGUUUCAACCCUCGAGCCCCCGUGGCCCGGCGUUGGGGAUCUGCCCAGGCAGUCCCCGAAAACCAGUGGCGGACCCGUUACAGGCCCUUCCCUUGCGUAGUAGCAUUCGCCUCGCAUCGGGAGCCGGCGGGCUUCCAGCCUCUAAACCCCCAUCAAGUCCGCCCCGGCGGCACCAAGGUUGACCUCGGAUCAGGUAGGAAUACCCGCUGAACUUAAGCAGAUCAAUAAGCGGAGGA